AGCGAACGCUGGCGGCAGGCUUAACACAUGCAAGUCGAGCGGGCACUUUCGGGUGUCCGCGGCGGACGGGUGAGUAACGCGUGGGAACGUGCCCUCUGGUUCGGAAUAACUCAGGGAAACUUGAGCUAAUAACGGAUACGCCCUUUUGGGGGAAGGCUUGCUGCCGGAGGAUCGGCCCGCGUCUGAUUAGCUAGUUGGUGAGGUAACGGCUCACCAAGGCGACGAUCAGUAGCUGGUCUGAGAGGAUGAUCAGCCACACUGGGACUGAGACACGGCCCAGACUCCUACGGGAGGCAGCAGUGGGGAAUAUUGGACAAUGGGCGCAAGCCUGAUCCAGCCAUGCCGCGUGAGUGAUGAAGGCCUUAGGGUUGUAAAGCUCUUUUAUCCGGGACGAUAAUGACGGAACCGGAGGAAUAAGCCCCGGCAAACUUCGU
Molecule: ribosomal RNA, 434 nt
Filed under: uncultured bacterium
Lineage: Bacteria
Description: partial 16S ribosomal RNA
Rfam family: Bacterial small subunit ribosomal RNA
Source: RNAcentral